CCUACGGGUGGCUGCAGUGGGGAAUAUUGGACAAUGGGCGAAAGCCUGAUCCAGCCAUGCCGCGUGUGUGAAGAAGGCCUUCGGGUUGUAAAGCACUUUCAGUGGGGAAGAAAGCCUUGGGGCUAAUACCCUCGAGGAAGGACAUCACCCACAGAAGAAGCACCGGCUAACUCCGUGCCAGCAGCCGCGGUACUACGGAGGGUGCGAGCGUUAAUCGGAAUUACUGGGCGUAAAGCGCGCGUAGGCGGUCUGAUAAGCCGGUUGUGAAAGCCCCGGGCUCAACCUGGGAACGGCAUCCGGAACUGGCAGGCUAGAGUGCAGGAGAGGAAGGUAGAAUUCCCGGUGUAGCGGUGAAAUGCGUAGAGAUCGGGAGGAAUACCAGUGGCGAAGGCGGCCUUCUGGACUGACACUGACGCUGAGGUGCGAAAGCGUGGGUAGCAAACAGGAUUAGAUACCCGUGUAGUC
RNAcentral lists this ribosomal RNA (465 nucleotides) under Vreelandella stevensii. RNAcentral describes it as "partial 16S ribosomal RNA". It matches the Rfam family "Bacterial small subunit ribosomal RNA", at positions 338 to 795 of the family's 1533-position model. The record is from RNAcentral. Lineage: Bacteria; Pseudomonadati; Pseudomonadota; Gammaproteobacteria; Oceanospirillales; Halomonadaceae.